Molecule: long non-coding RNA, 3563 nt
Organism: Bos taurus (domestic cattle)
Lineage: Eukaryota; Metazoa; Chordata; Mammalia; Artiodactyla; Bovidae
Source: Ensembl
CCCAUUAUUGCCACUUUUAUUUAGCAUAAUAUUGGAAGUCCCAGUCAGAGAAACUGGGCAAGGAAAAAAAAAAAAGGAACCCAAAUUGGAAAAAAAUUAAAACUUACUACUUGCAGAUGAUAUAUUAUAUAUAGAAAACAGUAAAAAUUGCCACCAAAAAAUGUUAGAAUAAAUGAAUUCAGUAAGUUUGUAGGAUAUAAAAUAAACAUAUAAAAAUCUGUGGCAUUUUUAUUCACUAACAAUAAACUAUUAGAAAAAGAAAUCAAGAAAACAAUCCCAUUUACAUCAAAAAGAAUACCUAAGAAUCAAUUUAACCAAGAGGUGAAAGAUCAGUACACUGAAAACUAUAUAAUCCUGAUGAAAGAAAUUGAAGAAGACACAAAUAAAUGGAAAGAUAUUCAAUGUCCACAGAUUGGAAAAAUUAAUGCUGUUGAAAUGUCCAUAUCACCCAAAGCAAUCUACAGACUUCCAUUAAAAUUCCAAUGGCAUUUUUCAUAGAAAUAACCUUAAAAUUUAAUGGUAUCACAAAAGACCCCAAGUAAGUCAAAGCAAUCCUGAGACAGAACUACAAAGUGGGAGGCAUACACUCUCUCUUACUUCAAAUUAUACUACAAAUCUAUAAAAAUCAGAAUAGUAUGUUACUGGCAUUAAAAAAAAAAGUGGAUACAUAGAUCAAUGGAACAGAACAGACAGCCCAGAAACAAACCCAUGCAUAUAGAGUCAAUUAAUUUAUAACAAAGAUACAGGCUAAAAAGAAGGCAAAUACAAUUACAUUGCAAUGAGUUUCUAAUUUAACUCUGCUUCCUAUCUAAAUGGAAUUAAAAGGCUAUUGUUUUGCCUACAUUCACAACAACUCAUUUAAUUGCCAUACCAAUCUAACCUUCUGAAACACACACCCUGGCAGUCCCUAAUCCUGGCUCAUCCAAAGCAUCACUCCGGCUCCCCUGCAACCACACAUCAAUGUGAAAUCCUGAGUAGAGCUGAGGAGAGAGAUUUUGGCAUCAUCAAUGUGUAGGUAGAUGGUGGAUGAAGUCCAUAGUCUUCCAGAGGUUACUCCAGCAGAAGACAGUGAGACCAGAGGAAGGAAGAAGCCACGGAGAUCAACAACACCCACGGGAAUGGGCAGAGAAGUAGAAGGACCACGAGAGAUGGGUCACCAGAUUCAAAGGAGGAGGAGGCUGGGAGCAGAAACUCAUGGUCAACAGCAUCUAACAUAGGAUCAGUAGUGGUGAGUCACUAGGAUGUGACAUUUAGGAGGCGGCUCAGACUGUAAAGCAUCUGUGUGCAAUGCGGGAGACCUGGGUUUGAUUCCUGGGUUGGGAAGAUCCCCUGGAGAAGGAAAUGGCAACCCACUCCAGCACUCUUGCCUGGAAAAUCCCAUGGACAGAGGAGCCUGAUAGGCUACAGUCCAUGGGGUCACAAAGAGUCGGACACGACUGAGCGACUUCACUUUUCUGGUAUUUUUAGAAAACCAUCUCCAUAGAGUUGGGUGGUGAAAGUGAUGGUGACACAAGAAUAAAACCGAACGAUGGGGCAAAUAAGUGCAGGCAGUUCUUUUAAGGUAAUUGACUGGGAAGCAAAUGAGGCAAGGAGAGGAGUCUGAAAGAAAGGCAGGGGGAUGCAAGGCUGGGAGAGAGGGAGAUUGAGGUUCAAGCUGCAAGAAGCAGAGGAGGGAAGAUUCUAGGGCUGUGAUAGAUGGGAACCAGAACCAGGCAUGAAGGCAAACCCACAUGGGAGGAAAAACCCUUUGUAAAAGGAAAUGCAGACCAGGGCCCAUGCCACCUCUUCCACAGAGUACCCCCGCCCCAUGCAGACCCAGCUCACUGAAUGCCAGUCCCAUUCCUCACCAGGCCUGGUGCAGAGCUAUUAUUUCUAGUGAACAAGGAUAAAAGGCUAUGCCUUGCAUGGCUCAAAAGUGGAUUCUUGUGUGGGGGCUUGAGAGACGUGCCCGUUCCCACUGUGUGUGGCCAGCGGGGGCUCUGCCCAGGGAUGGCUGGCACUCUCUCGCUCUCUCUGAUUCUGUCUUGGCCUCUCUCCUUCCCACUUCACCCCCAUCCUCAGGUGUCUUGUGUGUUUCUCUUCCCAAGGACAGAGACCCUGGGAGUUCUGCAAUGUGCAGGGGCAAUCCGGAGCCCUUCGUGAGAACUCAGGCAGAGCCUUUCUUCCUCCCUGUGGAAACGUGAGUAGUGCUCAGCCAGGCAGUGGGAAGGGCUGGCUCAUCUUCCUCCUUCUCCACCCCACCCCUGCCCACUGAUUGGCAUUUUUCUGGAAGCACUGAUGGUGCCUCAGUCCAUGCUGUGCCCAGCUGUGAAGUGGGGACCCCUCCCAUGAAGAAGCCUGCAGCCACCAGCUCUGUAGGAGAUGGGAGAAAUGGUGCUCCUGGAAGAGAGAUGUGGCAGCGGUGGGGUGGGAGUGGGGGGUCACAGGGAUCUAAUCUGAAGGCUGCUGCUGCCCCCACUCCCCUCCCCAUCAAGACUGAUGGACCCAACUGAGUAGCCCAGCCCAGCCAGUGGAAGAAGGGCAGCCUCCUCUGUGGGCUUCACUUCCUGCAGGCGACUCUUGGCCCCAGGCCUCUUCCUGAGAACUCAGCCUCUGCCUCAUUCCAAUGGCAGCCUCACCCCGUGUCCCAGCUUGAGUCUUAGGGUAACCACCUCCCUAGGGAUCAAGCUCCCUCACCUUCGCUGUCCCCCCGUGUUGACGCGUGCACUGCUCCCAGGCACCACCCUCUUUCGUGAGCCCCGACUCAGCUCCAAAUCACAAAAGGCAGUGGCCUCCUGUGUUUGCCCUGCCCCGCAACUGCCAGGACACCCAGAGAGAACCUCUGGACGCUAACUGCUCACUCGAGUCCACCACCCUGGCCUCACUGGCCAGAUGUUCUCAUUCAGCAUUGGCCUCAGUUUCCCCCUCUGUCAAAUGGGCACCCUGACAACACCACUUUACAGGGGGUGGGAGGCUUUCAUGAGAUGGAGAUAGAGCGUGCCUCUGAUGCCCUGCUGCUGAUCAUUACGGCCCACGUCUCACUCUGGUCUUUGAAAGGACCACUGAGAGCCUGUAUUCCUAACCCGCAGCCUCUGCCUUAACUCUGGUGCACACAGCAUAUUCUCCAAGAGGGUGCCCAGCUGGAAAACAGGCAGACGAGCACAGAUUUCAGUCCAGACAGACCCAAAGUUGAAUCUAGAAUCCAGUCCAAUCUGUGUGAUGGGACUGAAGUCUUUAGCCCCUGAGAGCUUCAGCUUGUUCAUCCAUGGAGCCUCCCUAUUGGAUCAUGUGAGAUAAUGAAGUGAGGUGAUACUGGAACACACCUGGUAUCUGUGGGUGCCGACGUGUGCACCACUGGCGUCCUCUCUUCAGAAGAAGCAGACAGGCCACCCAAGCUUUGAUCAGACCUCCUUGGGAUUCCCCUGAAAAGCACUGGAGCCUUUCCCUGGAGGGAACUCACCUCCUCCGCAGGCCCAGUGACGCGUUUGAUGUAAUCAACAACUGCCUGAGUCUGUUCUCUGAAUCCCGACACGCAGACUUGCAUCCAACCAGCCUGUGUAUGUUCCUCCAGAUUAAACGAGAGC